This 527-nucleotide long non-coding RNA is filed under the name Monodelphis domestica (gray short-tailed opossum). RNAcentral's name for it is "lncRNA (ENSMODG00000046791.1)". The record is from RNAcentral. Lineage: Eukaryota; Metazoa; Chordata; Mammalia; Didelphimorphia; Didelphidae.
CAAAAACGAUUCCUGCCUUGAGGAACUCAUGAGCUAAUGGGGGAGACAACGAGCAAACAAAUAUGUACAAAAAUAUAUGUACAUAGGACAAAUAGGAAAUAAUCAGCAGAGAAAAAGCACUGUAAUUAAGAGGAGACAGAACAAGGAACAAUACAUCAAAUUCAAAAGAAGCAGUUUUAUAAUAGAAGGAGGAGAAAAAGGCAGAAAGAGGUCACAGUGGAAAGAGCAAGGAGUCUGGAGCUGAGAGAGAGAAUGCUCAUCUGAAUUGCUGGAGAGCUUCCUCAUUGUCAUUCUGUGUUGGAACUCUUACUGAAGACACCACCAGAACUUCUGGCUGAGGACUACCAGGAAAUCCAUGUGGAGAUCAGAAAGCCCCUUUCAGGUCCUGAACUGGACUUCACUUUGCCAGAGAAGCACUUGGGGUUGGUAGGCUAGAUCAGGCUUUAUCUCCUUCCUAUAUUUCCCACUUUCACUAUCUCUAUCUUGUUGUAAAUAAAAGCUGCUAACAAUUCUUUUGACUUAGGGGC